GGGUCCCCACGCCUGUCCACGGCCUCCAGAUCCAGGGCCAUUUCCCACCUCUGGAUCCAGAUCCAGGCACCUCAGGUGUCUCAGUGGGAAGUACUGCCUUCUCCCAUUUCCUGUGGGGCCUCAGUGGGGUCCCACGAGCAAAGAGGCACCACCCGUUUGCUGGUCAACCAGUCCUGGCACACCCCACACUUCCGCCAGAAGUGCUAGCAAUGGCCCCACUACCUCUACCACCCCUGUCCCUACAAACCUGCAGCUACGAUCUCUGGAGAACAGAUGAAGCUCGGUUCCCUGGGCUCUACCGGGGUGAGCCUGAAAGCUCUGCCGACCUCCUGGAACUCUCCCCUGGGCACUGCGGCCAAAUUCCAUCCCUUACCUACUACCAUGUUCCACGGGCCUAGGAAGUGAAAUCCGAAGAAGGCACCUUACCAGGGACCUAGACCUCUCUACCACCCGUUGCUCCCACUCACAAACCAGGCCGUCUGGGGAGAGCCCCGAAAAUUUUGAGAAAAAUCUAAGGAGCCGGUUCCCACCUUUCUGGGGCCCAGCCCAGGGCUGUCUCCCACCUCAGGAUCCAGAUCCAGGCACCUCAGCCAUCUCGGUGGGAAGCACUGCCUUCUCCGGUUUCCCGGGGAGCCUCAGUGGGGUCCCGCGAGCAGAAAGGCACCAUCCGUUUGCUGGUCAACCUGUCCUGGCACACCCCCACACCUCAGCCAGAAGUGCUAGCAAUGGCCCCACUACCUCCACCACCCCCGUCCCUGUGAACCUGCAGCUACAAUCUCUGGAGAACAGAUGAAACGCGGAUCCCUGGGCGCUCCAGGGGUGAGCCUGAAAGCUCUGCCGACCUCCUGGAACUCUGCUUGGGGCAUUGUGAUCAAUUCUCUUCCCUCACCGAUUGCCCGGAGCUCCGGAGGAAGGAAACAAUAUAAAUGUGGCCACCAGGUGGCGCCAGAAAACCGGUGCAGCGGUCAGCGGGACCCAUGGGGGCUGGUUGGGGUGCACCACCGGCCUCCCCUCUCCACUCAUGCCCGGCCUCAUCUCGCUCACCUCGGAGCUCAUCCCUUGCAGGGUUCCGAGCCCGCGGAGGGCGUUCUGCCUGGACUCCACCUCGGAGUUCACCACCGGCAUGGUGCAACCCUGGCUGCAGAAGGGGGAUUUGAUUUUGGGUUUUUGCCUUUCAAGAGAUAAGAGCAGGCCUUCUCUCGGCAACUCUGAGAUCACCAGACCAGCCGAAUCAGAUGCACCCCCAGAGACUUAUGCAGGUGCAGAAAACCAGCCAAUGAACCACCAGCCUGGACAGGUGGCCAGAUAGGCGCAGACCAUGUCCUUGCGGACAGUUUUCAGAAGCCAGGGGUGCCCGGUGAUUUGCGCUUGGCUGGGCACCUAGAUGUCACCCCACCCGACCCUGCCGACCCAGAAUUCCUUUAUGCUUUCCUCCACCUUUCCUAGUUCCACCUUAGCUGGCUCAGUUCCAAGACAGUCCAAUGAGGACCCCCAAAUUGAAAGUAAUGAAUGUGUCUAGUUUCUCCUUUUCAAAGUAGUGUUGGUAUUUUUACUGGGUUCAUACUUACCUCUCAAAAGUAAUUUUGUAUCAGCAUUUUUAUACUAGGAAUGUUUAUGUGUUGGGACAAAAAUUGACAAAAGGAACCACAUAAGAGUGAAGCAUUUCUGCUGGGCCAAAAAACAACCACCAAGCUAAACAGCAAACUAGCAAA
This is a long non-coding RNA of Phyllostomus discolor (pale spear-nosed bat), 1712 nucleotides long. RefSeq lists it as uncharacterized. The record is from RefSeq and is a predicted model, not a curated record. The transcript is spliced from 2 exons. NCBI's taxonomy places the organism in Eukaryota, Metazoa, Chordata, Mammalia, Chiroptera, Phyllostomidae.